Molecule: ribosomal RNA, 592 nt
Filed under: Streptochilus sp.
Lineage: Eukaryota; Foraminifera; Rotaliida; Bolivinitidae
Description: SSU rRNA
Rfam family: Eukaryotic small subunit ribosomal RNA (bases 1-508)
Source: RNAcentral
UAGUUCGGGAGGAUCUGUCUGCUUAAUUGCGUAUCACUAUUGGAUCCAUCAUACAUGCAUUCGUUGCGGCAUUGACCCCGUGACUUCAUUGUCAUGCGCGCGUCUUUCGCUUAGCUCGUUGCAUAUUGGAUCCUGAUAGCAACGAACGUGACCGCACCCUCUUGUUGCUUUCAUACCCAAAUAUCUAAUAGGUAGGCAUAUAUUAUAUUAAGAAAGCUUCCCAUACACAAACUAGAGGGACCGCUGUUACUUUCUUAACCCAGAGGAAGGUUGCGGCAAUAACAGGUCUGUGAUGCCCUUAGAUGUUCCGGGCGGCACACGUGCUACAAUGAUUAUUGCAGUGAGCAUCUCAUUUAUUACUACAUGGCAUGCGCGAGUCAUAUUUAUUCCGUUCGCGGUUUAAAUAUUUGAUCUCUGCGCGCGAUUAAGCCUACUUUGAAAGUAAGCGGGUAAUCAAUUAGAAGUAAUGAUUUCCUACUCUUAGCAGUACUUGCACACAUAUAUGCGGCACAUCUACCCGGCUUGCCUUGUUGCAAGUUUUUGUGCGUAGAUGUGUACUUUUUCCGCAUGUGCAAUUGUCAAUUCAUGGUGG